This 483-nucleotide ribosomal RNA is filed under the name uncultured bacterium. Its description in RNAcentral is "partial 16S ribosomal RNA". It matches the Rfam family "Bacterial small subunit ribosomal RNA", at positions 28 to 507 of the family's 1533-position model. The record is from RNAcentral.
GACGAACGCUGGCGGCGUGCUUAACACAUGCGAGUCGAACGCUGAAGCUCAGCUUUUGUUGGGUGGAUGAGUGGCGAACGGGUGAGUAACACGUGAGUAACCUGCCCCCUUCUUUGGGAUAACGCCCGGAAACGGGUGCUAAUACUGGAUAUUCACUGGUCUUCGCAUGGGGGUUGGUGGAAAGGGUUUUUCUGGUGGGGGAUGGGCUCGCGGCCUAUCAGCUUGUUGGUGGGGUGAUGGCCUACCAAGGCUUUGACGGGUAGCCGGCCUGAGAGGGUGACCGGUCACAUUGGGACUGAGAUACGGCCCAGACUCCUACGGGAGGCAGCAGUGGGGAAUAUUGCACAAUGGGCGCAAGCCUGAUGCAGCGACGCCGCGUGAGGGAUGGAGGCCGUCGGGUUGUGAACCUCUUUCGCUCAUGGUCAAGCCGCAACAAUGGUUGUGGUGAGGGUAGUGGGUAAAGAAGCGCCGGCUAACUACGUG